AUGUGUGUACCAAAAGACCAAGGAGGAAUGGGUUUUCGAGACAUACAUUGUUUCAAUUUGGCCUUGUUAGCCAAACAAGCGUGGCGCCUGCUUGAUAAUCCCGAUUCUCUAUGUGCCACCAUUUUGAGAGCUAAAUAUUUUUCGGAUGGAGAUUUAAUGAAUGCCAGUCUUAAAAAAGGAUCUUCGUUCACUUGGCAAAGCAUUAUGGCGGGAGUGGAUUCUCUAAAAAAUGGUUAUAUUUGGAGAGUUGGAAAUGGACAAAAUAUAGAUAUUUGGAGAGAUGUAUGGAUCCCUAAUGGGGCCAAUAGGAAAAUUAUCACUCCUAGAAGAGGGCAGCUUCUGACAAAAGUUGCUGAUCUUAUAGAUCCAAUCAACAAUUGUUGGGAUGAAGAUUUGGUAAGACAAACGUUGUGGCCAAUUGAUGUCCAGAGGGUGCUUGCGAUCCCCCUCCCCACGUAUAACAUGUCAGAUUUCAUAGCUUGGAGUUUUACAAAGAAUGGA
This 501-nucleotide ribosomal RNA is filed under the name Triticum aestivum (bread wheat). RNAcentral describes it as "partial small subunit ribosomal RNA". Lineage: Eukaryota; Viridiplantae; Streptophyta; Magnoliopsida; Poales; Poaceae. The record is from RNAcentral.